Long non-coding RNA from Mustela erminea (ermine), 1627 nucleotides. RefSeq lists it as uncharacterized. The transcript is spliced from 4 exons. The record is from RefSeq and is a predicted model, not a curated record. NCBI's taxonomy places the organism in Eukaryota, Metazoa, Chordata, Mammalia, Carnivora, Mustelidae.
CAGAGGCAGAGACAGUCAAAAUACAGAGAUCGACAGUAAGAGAGACAGCAACAGAACAGAGACAGAGACAGAGAGACACGUGGAGAUAAUGAGGGAUACGGAAAAACCAAGUGAGCUAUCUAAGUAUCUAUAAAUGUCCGCCUAUCACCUAUCUAUCUGUCUGUCUGUCAGUCAUCAGCUAUCAUAGACCAAAUCUCACACAGGGACAGUGAUCAGAGAUAGAGACACACAGGGCCAGAGACAGACAAAUGAAGACAGAGAACUAGAGAAAGGCAGAAGAGAGAGUUGGAGAGACAGAGAGACACAUGCUUCCUGAGAGACAUACAGAUGGACACUGAAAGAGAAAGGGCAGGAAAUAAAGAGCUAAACAGAGACUGAGGGAAAGAGAGAGUGACAGACACAAAGGAGAGAUGCACAGAGACAGACACACAGGCACACACAUGGAAAUUACACAGAGAUGUGCAGAGACAGGGACCAAGACAGACUGAGAGAGAGAGAGAGGGGAGCAGAAGCAGAAGCAGAGGGAAAAUAAUCAGGGGUUCUGAACCCAGGGGCUCAGUGCAGAGAGAGGUGCCCCCUGCUGGGUAAACGCUGGUACUAGCCGGUGCCCAGCCCCGCUCUGGGCUCUAAAACCUGGGCGAGUGAACGAACACAGAGCCAGAGAAAGCCCCAGAAAGACAAGCCCAGGAACCUCGAGGACCGUCGGAGGAGAAGACAAGGGAGAUCCCAGGCAGUCUAUCGACUGAAGAGAGAUGAAGCCGGUGAGCCCUGUCUUGAGAGCCAUCCUCCUCUGUGACCGGUACCUGGCCCUUUACCUGCUGAGCUUCCGGCAGCAGAAGUGUGAUCUGCUCCAGAAAUGAUGUGCAAAACUUGACCUGUUUCCUGAGGUUGAUAUAAGUCAGCCAGCUUCAAACCCUUCUGCAAGAGCUCUGCAUUAGCAAACCAAGCUGGUUCCAAGCAUCCCCUUCCUCACAAGCGGUCUUGUCGGGCUCCAGCAACCGCCCCCUCCCUUUGUACCUGCAAGGAUGAAAGGUCAGACUCGCUGAAGCUAGUUUACAGGUAUUCUAUCACGCCGGGCUGGCUCUCCCUCAGUUUUGGAAACAGUCCUUUCAUUAAACUCGAAAUGAUCCCAUUUGUGUGUGACUCACCUUUCCUGCUGGGGUCCCAACACAGCUCUCCAUUGCAUGGUUGCUCCAUAGUUUGUGUGGUCCGUCAUCAGGCCACAGUUAUUUCCAAUCUUUCACUGUGACCCAAAGCGGCAACACAUAAACUUGCCUAUAGGUCAUUUUGCACACAUUUGGGUAAACCUGUAGGAUAAAUAUUAGAUGAGGAAUUGCUGAGUCAGAUAAUGCAUAUUUAUAAUUUUGGCUGAUACUGUUAAAUCAUGCUGAAUGGUUGAACCAAUCCACGGCUCCAUUAGCAGAGGAUGAGAAUGAGGGUUGCUUUUUAGACUAAAUUCAUAAUCCGUAAUGUUUGGAUGCCUGUCUUGGAGGCUAUUAAGGAUUCUCCAGAUAAGGAUACCAAACUUCUAGUUAAUAAUAGGCAGGUAUCUGGAAUAAUAAAUUGAAUAAAAAAUUGAAUAAAGGGUGUGUGUGAAUGUAUUUGUUUCCCAUCUUGGAAUCUCCGA